Small nuclear RNA from Octodon degus (degu), 105 nucleotides. The record is from Ensembl. Lineage: Eukaryota; Metazoa; Chordata; Mammalia; Rodentia; Octodontidae.
AUGCUCACUUCAGCAGCACAUAUGCUAAAAGUGGAACAAUCCAGUAAGAUUAGCACAGCCCCUCCGCAAGGAUGGCCACAAAUUCGUGGGGCGUUCCAUAUUUUU